RNAcentral lists this ribosomal RNA (440 nucleotides) under uncultured bacterium. RNAcentral describes it as "partial 16S ribosomal RNA". It matches the Rfam family "Bacterial small subunit ribosomal RNA", at positions 338 to 795 of the family's 1533-position model. The record is from RNAcentral.
CCUACGGGAGGCAGCAGUGGGGGAUAUUGCACAAUGGGGGAAACCCUGAUGCAGCGACGCCACGUGUGGGAAGACGGUCCUCUGGAUUGUAAACCACUGUCCCCAGGGACGAAGAUGACGGUACCUGGGGAGGAAGCUCCGGCUAACUACGUGCCAGCAGCCGCGGUAAUACGUAGGGAGCGAGCGUUGUCCGGAAUUACUGGGUGUAAAGGGAGCGUAGGCGGGACUGCAAGUUGGGUGUCAAAUCUACCGGCUCAACCGGUAGCCGCACUCAAAACUGCAGUUCUUGAGUGAAGUAGAGGCAGGCGGAAUUCCUAGUGUAGCGGUGAAAGGCGUAGAUAUUAGGAGGAACACCAGUGGCGAAGGCGGCCUGCUGGGCUUUUACUGACGCUGAGGCUCGAAAGUGUGGGGAGCAAACAGGAUUAGAUACCCCGGUAGUC